CCUACGGGAGGCAGCAGUGGGGAAUUUUGGACAAUGGGCGAAAGCCUGAUCCAGCAAUGCCGCGUGUGGGAAGAAGGCCUUCGGGUUGUAAACCACUUUUGUACGGAACGAAACGGUUCGCUUUAAUACAGUGGGCUAAUGACGGUACCGUAAGAAUAAGCACCGGCUAACUACGUGCCAGCAGCCGCGGUAAUACGUAGGGUGCGAGCGUUAAUCGGAAUUACUGGGCGUAAAGCGUGCGCAGGCGGUUAUAUAAGACAGUUGUGAAAUCCCCGGGCUCAACCUGGGAAUUGCAUCUGUGACUGUAUAGCUAGAGUACGGUAGAGGGGGAUGGAAUUCCGCGUGUAGCAGUGAAAUGCGUAGAUAUGCGGAGGAACACCGAUGGCGAAGGCAAUCCCCUGGACCCGUACUGACGCUCAUGCACGAAAGCGUGGGGAGCAAACAGGAUUAGAUACCCUGGUAGUCCACGCCCUAAACGAUGUCAACUGGUUGUUGGGUGCAUUAGUACUCAGUAACGAAGCUAACGCGUGAAGUUGACCGCCUGGGGAGUACGGCCGCAAGGUUGAAACUCAAAUGAAUUGACGG
Molecule: ribosomal RNA, 585 nt
Filed under: uncultured bacterium
Lineage: Bacteria
Description: bacterial SSU rRNA
Rfam family: Bacterial small subunit ribosomal RNA
Source: RNAcentral